UACGUAGGGUGCGAGCGUUAAUCGGAAUUAUUGGGCGUAAAGCGCGUGUAGGCGGCUUUGCAAGUCGGGUGUGAAAGCCCUCAGCUCAACUGAGGAAGUGCGCCCGAAACUGCAGAGCUUGAGUACCGGAGAGGAUGGCGGAAUUCCCCAAGUAGAGGUGAAAUUCGUAGAUAUGGGGAGGAACACCGGUGGCGAAGGCGGCCAUCUGGACGGUCACUGACGCUGAGACGCGAAAGCGUGGGUAGCAAACAGG
Molecule: ribosomal RNA, 253 nt
Filed under: uncultured bacterium
Lineage: Bacteria
Description: partial 16S ribosomal RNA
Rfam family: Bacterial small subunit ribosomal RNA
Source: RNAcentral